This is a long non-coding RNA of Erigeron canadensis, 2848 nucleotides long. RefSeq lists it as uncharacterized. Lineage: Eukaryota; Viridiplantae; Streptophyta; Magnoliopsida; Asterales; Asteraceae. The record is from RefSeq and is a predicted model, not a curated record. The transcript is spliced from 5 exons.
GAUAAGGAAUGGAGGUUUAGCUUCUUAGUAUAUAUGGUGAAAUUUUGAUGCUAAAAGUUGGCAUACUCCGAUGAAGUUAUAUAGGAAACUUAUGAACCGACCCUCUAACUGUGUAGCUAAUAAUUAAUGUAUUAGCAAAUUAGUAGAAUGCUGGUAGCACAUUAGUGAGAUGGUUUAUGAAAGCUUGAGAAACUCUGGGUUAGUUUUGGCGUUAGACUAGAGGAAUGAGCUAUUGGGAAUUUGUGAUGGUACGAGUCAUGAAAAGAACCACUUUGCAAAAUGCAAGUGAAAGUUUACACACGUAGGCUCCUUCCCUCAACUGUUGAUCCUAUGUGUUAUACUAUGAUUGGAUCGCUGACAACGUGUCACUCUAUGAUUGUGCAUAUAUAUUAAGUAUGAGUUCUUUUAAUGCAAUAGAGAAUACGGGUCGAAUAGGGUAGUUGUUUCGGGUAAUAUAACAUAUGUGUCACUCUAUGAUUUGAGGGUUUUGCAACUGUCUAUCCAUAAUUGCGCAUAUAAACUGAUGAUGAGGUGGCAAUUAAUAUAAAGAGUAGACUAGAAGCUUCGUGUAUAAAGCAUAUGUGUCACUCUAUAAUUGGACACUUGCAACGGGUCACUUUAUGAUUGAACGUAUUAACGCAGGAUUAGUUGGCAAUUUCUUGUAAUAGAAAAUCCAGGUGGAGUAGGCUUGCUGUUUCGUGGAUAAUCCAUACGUGUCACUCUAUAAUUGGACAACUUGCAACGUGUCACUUUAUGAUUGGACGUAUUAGCGCAGGAUGCGUUGGCACUUUCUUGUAAUAGAAAAUCCAGCUGGAGUACGCUUGCUGUUUCGUGGAUGAUCCAUACGUGUCACUCUAUGAUUGGACGGCUAGCAACGUGUCACUCUAUGAUUGGGUGUGCACACUCAGGAUGCGUUGGCAGUUUAUUGUAGAUGAGAAUCUGGGUGGAAUAGGCUAGUUUUUUGUGCUAUAAAACAUGAAAUGAGGGUGCCUUUCAAGAUAUAGAGAGGUGGAGUGCAGAGUAACACAUAGAGGUGGACAUCCCAAGACAGAUCACUUUCAAUGAUCGGGGAGCUUUGUGCUUUCAGAGAAAAGAGAGCUUCAAAAGCGUAGAUCUUCAGGAUUUUGGGAAGUUCAUCAUCAACCUUGGUGCCUGAGUGUGAUAUAUUUACCAUGCGACAACUUUAAUCAAGGGAGUUCUACUAUUAGCCCAAAGAUCCGGAGAAGAAGGAAUUAAAAAGUAUGCAGCUAAGAUUAGACCCUACCUUUUUGUAUAUUUCAUUAAACGACUGCAGUCAAGUGUUGACUUCUAUAUGUGAUGAGGGGGCUUCAGUUCGCGAACGGGCUUCAGUUCGUGAAAGGGAACCCUCCUGGUGCAACAGAGUCCAAACCAAAGGAAAGGGAGGAAGAGAAAUAUGGAUAUGACUAUCUCUCGUAAAAAGAUAAAUAUUGGUCAAUCUAUUUCCCAUUAAUGAGAUUACAUGGCCUGAAUUAGCACUUCUUUGUUUGAGGAUGGUACUCUUGAAGAACUGGAUAUCUCAAGCCGUGAAUUUCUUGUAGUGUUCCUUUGCUUGAAGGGUGACGGCGAUCCACUUUGUCAUUCUCUUAGAGGAAUGGCUGCAAUUUAGGCUGAUGCAGUGGCAUAUUGUUUACUCUCAGACACUUUGGCUGGACACGUCGGCCGGAGGUCCAGUUGGAAGUAGUCUCCCUAUCCGCGGAUAGGAAUAAGAAUGUGUACAUCUCACCUCCCCACCCUCUUCUUAUUGCGGGUUUGGACAUUGUUGCUUAUCCGGGGCAAAUGAAGACAGUUCAGUUUUAAAUGCCCAAACCACUACUUGCUAGCAUGAAAAACUGCAAUGAGAAUCUGGUAUCACAACAAGAACAGCCGAACUGCCUGAUUCUAUGUAUGGUCAUGCUGAAUACAAAGCCGGAGACAACACUGAUAUCCUGGUUUCUUGAUAGAAAGUGAAAUUGCAAAAGCUCCAACCCAAAUGGUAAAUGCUGAACCCUGAUCCAAAAGUAGGCGGUCAAAGAGAUAGAGCUCGAGUCAAGAUCAUGUACGUUCAGUGGAUGCUGUUUUGACAAGACACCUGAAGGGAUGAUUGACCUGGAAUUGACUUCUCCAAAGCAUGCGAGAAAGUAGGACAGCAAAAGGCGAAGGAUAAGCCUUUAGCUACUACCGCAACAUCAGAUCUACUAGUGCUUCAGAUCUUCAGAUGUGAAUCUUCGUCAAGAAACUGAAUAACCAAUAUUAAAUUUUAUAAUUUGAUAUUGUGGCAUGUGGUCAAAGAAAUAUCAUAAAUAGCAGUGAGCAUAACUCCAGAAUCAGACUAUUGGUUCGCGUGAUUAAAGUUAAUCUUGAAUCGGGGAGCUCAGGUUUUUCAAGGUUCAAACUCCAUGACCAAAUCAUUAGAGAGUAGAGCCGGUAUCUUGUUAACCUUAUGCUCAUCAUCAUGUGAGAUGUGACGAGGUUAUUUCUAACUCAGAAUCGAGUUAACUAAAAAAGUCCCCGUAAAACAGAACCAGGAGUGGGAUUAUAUUUGUGCAUGCAUUUUGUCUCAAAGUGAAGUGUCUGGUGUGCAUAUGUUAUUGUGUCAUCAUAUGUAAGACAAUUAGUGUUGUAUUGUACCUUGAAUUUUUUGGACAUAUUUGUUGGCCAUGUAUCUGUAGAAAGUUUGUUAUCUGCAUACUAUUGUCGUGAACGUUUUCAGCGUUCAUCAUCAUCUAUUGACCAACUUGUGACCAUGCGACAGUAUACGUCAAUGAGUGGUGUUCGUCAUGCUUGACACUUGGGUUCUUGUUUUGUACAGUAAUAUAUAUCAGUACAUUUACAACGGUCAUUAAAUUAA